AGAGCGGAUCAGCGCGGGUGUCCAGCGCCCGGAUGUGGGCAGUCGGGGCUAGCCGCUGGGGCAGGGUGCCCCCAGCAAGAGGAGCAGCGGCUCCAAACCACAGAAUCUCCAACGCCGGACAGCGCGGCCUCGGUCACCAUAAGCCACAGGCAUCCUGCAGGCCAUCGCGUGUGGUGGAGCGCCCGGCGCUUACCGUGACUGGAGUCUCGCCCUGUCGCCCAGGCUGGAGUGCAAUGGCGUGAUCUCGGCUCACUACAACCUCCACCUCCCGGGAUCAAACAAUUCUCCUGCCUCAGCCUCCUGAAUAGCUGGGAUUACAGACGUGAGCCACCAGGCCCAGCUAAUUUUGUGUGUUUUUAGUAGAGACGGGGUUUCACCAUGUUGACCAGGCUGGUGUUGAACUCCUGACCUCGUGAUCCUCCCGCCUCAGCCUCCCAAAGUGCUGGGAUUACAGGCGUGAGCCACGACCCUGGCUGGGAAAGUUUUUAAUGCGCAGUCUGUUUUGAACUGACAUCAGUUGGGAAAAGCAAGAUGAAGAUUAAUAAAGCUCGUAUUCAUUUUAUUCUGAAGAA
Long non-coding RNA from Pongo pygmaeus (Bornean orangutan), 572 nucleotides. RefSeq lists it as uncharacterized. The record is from RefSeq and is a predicted model, not a curated record. The transcript is spliced from 2 exons. Lineage: Eukaryota; Metazoa; Chordata; Mammalia; Primates; Hominidae.